CAAGUGAUAAUUUAUAAAAAAUAAUAGCUUUGGGGGCUUUAUAUCUCCUCCGGGAGUCACUUGA
RNAcentral lists this transfer RNA (64 nucleotides) under Haematomyzus elephantis (elephant louse). RNAcentral describes it as "tRNA-Pro". Lineage: Eukaryota; Metazoa; Arthropoda; Insecta; Psocodea; Haematomyzidae. The record is from RNAcentral.